This 286-nucleotide ribosomal RNA is filed under the name uncultured bacterium. RNAcentral's name for it is "partial 16S ribosomal RNA". It matches the Rfam family "Bacterial small subunit ribosomal RNA", at positions 773 to 1060 of the family's 1533-position model. The record is from RNAcentral.
GUGGAUUAGAUACCCGAGUAGUCCACGCCCUAAACGAUGGAUACUCGAUGUCGGGUCGCAAGGCCCGGUGUCCAAGCUAACGCGUUAAGUAUCCCACCUGGGGAGUACGAUCGCAAGGUUGAAACUCAAAGGAAUUGACGGGGGCCCGCACAAGCAGUGGAGCAUGUGGUUCAAUUCGAUGCAACGCGAAGAACCUUACCUGGGUUUGAAAGGCAAGUGACAACCGGUGAAAGUCGGUCUCCCCGCAAGGGGCACUUGUACAGGUGCUGCACGGCUGUCGUCAACU